GCCUCCGUAGUGUAAUGGAUAACACGACAGUCUUCGGAACUGUAAAUAGGGGUUCGAUUCCCUUCGGAGGCA
RNAcentral lists this transfer RNA (72 nucleotides) under Patescibacteria group bacterium. RNAcentral's name for it is "tRNA-Arg". It matches the Rfam family "tRNA". Rfam says of the family: Transfer RNA (tRNA) molecules are approximately 80 nucleotides in length. Their secondary structure includes four short double-helical elements and three loops (D, anti-codon, and T loops). Further hydrogen bonds mediate the characteristic L-shaped molecular structure. tRNAs have two regions of fundamental functional importance: the anti-codon, which is responsible for specific mRNA codon recognition, and the 3' end, to which the tRNAs corresponding amino acid is attached (by aminoacyl-tRNA synthetases). tRNAs cope with the degeneracy of the genetic code in two manners: having more than one tRNA (with a specific anti-codon) for a particular amino acid; and 'wobble' base-pairing, i.e. permitting non-standard base-pairing at the 3rd anti-codon position. The record is from RNAcentral.